GGAUGUAAGGGUUAUCUGGUUAUGACACCUGUCACCCCAUUGAUCAGCAGGGUUGAUUGGGCUGAUCUGGCUGGCUCGGGGGUGACCCGUUCUUCCCUCGCUGCUCCAUGUAAGUUCCUCCCAAAGCUGCGUGUGCUUGGCUGAAGAGGACAACCUUCCUGGUCUUCAGUUGAAGGUAUACAAGUAGCUGCACUCCCCUGCUAGAACCUCCAGACUAGCUCUCAAGGUCCUGAGUUUGAAUCCGGACAUCACAUGUGCCAAAGUGACACUCUGGCUCUCUCU
This 282-nucleotide small nuclear RNA is filed under the name Erinaceus europaeus (western European hedgehog). RNAcentral's name for it is "7SK RNA". It matches the Rfam family "7SK RNA". Rfam says of the family: 7SK was discovered as an abundant small nuclear RNA in the mid-70s but a possible function has only recently been suggested. Two independent studies have found that 7SK RNA binds the CDK9/cyclin T complex (known as elongation factor P-TEFb). P-TEFb activates transcription by phosphorylating the C-terminal domain of RNA polymerase II. The record is from Rfam by way of RNAcentral. Lineage: Eukaryota; Metazoa; Chordata; Mammalia; Eulipotyphla; Erinaceidae.